AGAGUUUGAUCAUGGCUCAGAACGAACGCUGGCGGCAGGCCUAACACAUGCAAGUCGAGCGAGACCUUCGGGUCUAGCGGCGGACGGGUUAGUAACGCGUGGGAACGUACCCUUUUCUGCAGGAUAGCCACUGGAAACGGUGAGUAAUACUGCAUACGCCCUUCGGGGGAAAGAUUUAUCGGAGAAGGAUCGGCCCGCGUUAGAUUAGAUAGUUGGUGGGGUAAUGGCCUACCAAGUCUACGAUCUAUAGCUGGUUUGAGAGGAUGAUCAGCAACACUGGGACUGAGACACGGCCCAGACUCCUACGGGAGGCAGCAGUGGGGAAUCUUAGACAAUGGGCGCAAGCCUGAUCUAGCCAUGCCGCGUGAGUGAUGAAGGCCUUAGGGUCGUAAAGCUCUUUCGCCUGUGAAGAUAAUGACUGUAGCAGGUAAAGAAACCCCGGCUAACUCCGUGCCAGCAGCCGCGGUAAUACGGAGGGGGUUAGCGUUGUUCGGAAUUACUGGGCGUAAAGCGCGCGUAGGCGGACAUUUAAGUCAGAGGUGAAAUCCCAGGGCUCAACCCUGGAACUGCCUUUGAUACUGGGUGUCUUGAGUUCGAGAGAGGUGAGUGGAAUUCCGAGUGUAGAGGUGAAAUUCGUAGAUAUUCGGAGGAACACCAGUGGCGAAGGCGGCUCACUGGCUCGAUACUGACGCUGAGGUGCGAAAGUGUGGGGAGCAAACAGGAUUAGAUACCCUGGUAGUCCACACCGUAAACGAUGAAUGCCAGUCGUCGGGUAGUAUACUAUUCGGUGACACACCUAACGGAUUAAGCAUUCCGCCUGGGGGAGUACGGUCGCAAGAUUAAAACUCAAAGGAAUUGACGGG
RNAcentral lists this ribosomal RNA (863 nucleotides) under uncultured bacterium. RNAcentral describes it as "bacterial SSU rRNA". It matches the Rfam family "Bacterial small subunit ribosomal RNA", at positions 8 to 917 of the family's 1533-position model. The record is from RNAcentral.